CAGCCGCCACGGGAAUACGAAGGGGGCUAGCGUUGCUCGGAAUCACUGGGCGUAAAGGGUGCGUAGGCGGGUCUUUAAGUCAGGGGUGAAAUCCUGGAGCUCAACUCCAGAACUGCCUUUGAUACUGAAGAUCUUGAGUUCGGGAGAGGUGAGUGGAACUGCGAGUGUAGAGGUGAAAUUCGUAGAUAUUCGCAAGAACACCAGUGGCGAAGGCGGCUCACUGGCCCGAUACUGACGCUGAGGCACGAAAGCGUGGGGAGCAAACAGGAUUAGAUACCCCUGUAGUCCCUGUCUCUUAUAC
RNAcentral lists this ribosomal RNA (301 nucleotides) under uncultured bacterium. RNAcentral's name for it is "partial 16S ribosomal RNA". It matches the Rfam family "Bacterial small subunit ribosomal RNA", at positions 509 to 807 of the family's 1533-position model. The record is from RNAcentral.